This 571-nucleotide ribosomal RNA is filed under the name uncultured organism. Its description in RNAcentral is "eukaryotic LSU rRNA". The stretch from base 197 to 350 matches the Rfam family "5.8S ribosomal RNA". The record is from RNAcentral.
UUCCGUAGGUGAACCUGCGGAGGGAUCAUUACACAAAUAUGAAGGCGGGCUGGAACCUCUCGGGGUUACAGCCUUGCUGAAUUAUUCACCCUUGUCUUUUGCGUACUUCUUGUUUCCUUGGUGGGUUCGCCCACCACUAGGACAAACAUAAACCUUUUGUAAUUGCAAUCAGCGUCAGUAACAAAUUAAUAAUUACAACUUUCAACAACGGAUCUCUUGGUUCUGGCAUCGAUGAAGAACGCAGCGAAAUGCGAUAAGUAGUGUGAAUUGCAGAAUUCAGUGAAUCAUCGAAUCUUUGAACGCACAUUGCGCCCUUUGGUAUUCCAAAGGGCAUGCCUGUUCGAGCGUCAUUUGUACCCUCAAGCUUUGCUUGGUGUUGGGCGUCUUGUCUCUAGCUUUGCUGGAGACUCGCCUUAAAGUAAUUGGCAGCCGGCCUACUGGUUUCGGAGCGCAGCACAAGUCGCACUCUCUAUCAGCAAAGGUCUAGCAUCCAUUAAGCCUUUUUUCAACUUUUGACCUCGGAUCAGGUAGGGAUACCCGCUGAACUUAAGCAUAUCAAUAAGCGGAGGAA